GACGAACGCUGGCGGCGUGCUUAACACAUGCGAGUCGAACGGUGAGGCCCUUCGGGGUACACGAGUGGCGAACGGGUGAGUAACACGUGGGUGAUCUGCCCUGCACUUCGGGAUAAGCCUGGGAAACUGGGUCUAAUACCGGAUAGGACCCUGGGAUGCAUGUCCUGGGGUGGAAAGCUUUUGCGGUGUGGGAUGGGCCCGCGGCCUAUCAGCUUGUUGGUGGGGUGAUGGCCUACCAAGGCGACGACGGGUAGCCGGCCUGAGAGGGUGACCGGCCACACUGGGACUGAGAUACGGCCCAGACUCCUACGGGAGGCAGCAGUGGGGAAUAUUGCACAAUGGGCGCAAGCCUGAUGCAGCGACGCCGCGUGAGGGAUGACGGCCUUCGGGUUGUAAACCUCUUUCAGCACCGACGAAGCGCAAGUGGCGGUAGGUGCAGAAGAAGGACCGGCCAACUACGUGCCAGCCGCCGCCGUAA
This 478-nucleotide ribosomal RNA is filed under the name uncultured bacterium. RNAcentral's name for it is "partial 16S ribosomal RNA". It matches the Rfam family "Bacterial small subunit ribosomal RNA", at positions 28 to 523 of the family's 1533-position model. The record is from RNAcentral.